GCAACACACUGGUUUGGCAUCUAGCAGGUUGUGCUUGCAGAACAGCAGGCUGGCUCCCUGCACCUGCUCAGUGGGGCUGGGCCUUAGCAACCUGCCUUGAGGCUGCUCUUCCUUAACCUUUCUCUAACUGGCUUCAUGAAAGUUAAUUCUGCUGGGACCCCACGAGGCAGCGGAGAGCCCACUCUGCCCAUGAUUGGUGCCCUGGGCUGGCACGCAGAGUUUAAUGGAGGAGCCCGGGAGAGAGGGAUGCCUGAGAACCAGGGAUGUGGGCUGGAGCAGUGCCACCUCCUGUAACUCACCCGCGAGCCCAGCCAACCUGCUAAACCUUCCCCACAGAGCCUCAGUCUCCUUAUCUGUAAAAUGGAUUACCUGGCACUUGUCCAGUCUUUCUGCAGUCAACAUCGCCCAGAUUCCAUGCAGAACCCUUUGCAGACUCCUGAGGAGGUGGGAUCAGGACAGCAUAGUGUGUCCUCUGUCUUGAGAAGUUCGCAUCCAGCUCUGCCAUGGACCAGCCAUGCUCAUGGAUUGCCUCUCGUUUUGCUACGGACAGGAGACAGGAAAAUACUGGGUAGAAGAGGGCGGUUCCCGACAAAGGCCCCAACCUCAAGCCUGAAGACCCACGACCCUAAAUGAGGACAGCCAUUUCUGUUUUUGUGCCCAAAAAGUUGCCUUUUGGCCUGCCACGCCCAACAUCUUGCCCCCAUAUAAACCCGAGACCUUAGCGGGCACACACACAAUCAGCCAAAUGUUGGGAUUAGCAGACCAGUGGACCAGCGGACCAGCAGACCAGUUAACGGUGGAACA
Molecule: long non-coding RNA, 804 nt
Filed under: Pan troglodytes (chimpanzee)
Lineage: Eukaryota; Metazoa; Chordata; Mammalia; Primates; Hominidae
Description: lincRNA
Source: RNAcentral